UUCUUUACAAUAUGCAAAUAAAAGCUAUCUAAAUAAAGAAACUGCACGAUGUAGACUUCAACGGAUUCAUAUAUAUUACAGUUAGAACAGAAGCUAUCAGCAUACGGACUCGAGGCACGGAUUUCAUGCUUUAAUAUAGUGCAUUUCUUAUUUGUUUUUCUCAGUAACCAUAAAAACAAUAGCACUAGUCAUAUUUACUUGAAAUAUCGGUUAAUAAUGGUAUCUUCUGUAUCCAGUCCCUUCGACCUUGAGAAAUAUUCUUGAGUCUGUCGUACACUUCCAG
This 283-nucleotide unclassified non-coding RNA is filed under the name Hevea brasiliensis (rubber tree). Lineage: Eukaryota; Viridiplantae; Streptophyta; Magnoliopsida; Malpighiales; Euphorbiaceae. The record is from RNAcentral.